Molecule: RNA transcript, 593 nt
Organism: Carlito syrichta (Philippine tarsier)
Lineage: Eukaryota; Metazoa; Chordata; Mammalia; Primates; Tarsiidae
Gene name: high mobility group nucleosome-binding domain-containing protein 3 pseudogene
Exons: 2
Source: RefSeq, a predicted model, not a curated record
AUGCCCUUGCUGUCUCUCACUAGCCUCCCUGGGACAAACUCCCCAGUCUCAGAGCUCAUCACCAGCCUCCAGUGCCCUCCUGGAUUUGGCAUCUGUCAUGUGGGGGUGUCUACCAGCAGACAUCUGGAGGUCAGAACGUCGCCAGAGAAUCCAGAGGGCAAAGAUGGAUCCAAAGUAACUAAACAGGAGCCCACAAGACGGUCUGCCAGAUUGUCAGCAAAACCUGCCCCACCAAAACUUGAACCUAAACCAUGAAAAAUAUCUGCUAAGAAAGAACCUGAAGCAAAGAUUAACCGAGCUGCUAAAGGGAAGAAGGAGGAAAAACUGGAAGCUGGAAAGGAAGGCACAGAACACUGAAUCUGUAGAUAUUGAGGAAGAAUGAAUUGUCGUGAAAAAUUGGGGUUGAUUUUAUGUAUCUCUUGGAACAACUUUUAAAAGCUAUUUUUACUAAGUAUUUUGUAAAUGCUAAUUUUUUUAGGACUCUGCUAGUUGACAUACAAAAAUAUAUAAGGAUGGACAUUUUACCCUCUCAUAGUCAGGCUUUUUGGAAAUUUCCAUCAUCCUCAAGUAAAAUAAAUAUCAAUUUAAUAUUG